This 253-nucleotide ribosomal RNA is filed under the name Ruminococcus bromii. Its description in RNAcentral is "partial 16S ribosomal RNA". It matches the Rfam family "Bacterial small subunit ribosomal RNA", at positions 524 to 776 of the family's 1533-position model. Lineage: Bacteria; Bacillati; Bacillota; Clostridia; Eubacteriales; Oscillospiraceae. RNAcentral also lists the same sequence under 4 other names. The record is from RNAcentral.
UACGUAGGGAGCAAGCGUUGUCCGGAUUUACUGGGUGUAAAGGGUGCGUAGGCGGCUUUGCAAGUCAGAUGUGAAAUCUAUGGGCUCAACCCAUAAACUGCAUUUGAAACUGUAGAGCUUGAGUGAAGUAGAGGCAGGCGGAAUUCCCCGUGUAGCGGUGAAAUGCGUAGAGAUGGGGAGGAACACCAGUGGCGAAGGCGGCCUGCUGGGCUUUAACUGACGCUGAGGCACGAAAGCGUGGGUAGCAAACAGG